Molecule: non-coding RNA, 1506 nt
Organism: Microcebus murinus (gray mouse lemur)
Lineage: Eukaryota; Metazoa; Chordata; Mammalia; Primates; Cheirogaleidae
Source: RefSeq, a predicted model, not a curated record
UAGGACGCCGUGCGAGAGGCGGUCUCUCUCUUCUUCCUCUGGAUUCUGUCGCCUGAAUGUGACACCCAGCACCGCGGCCACUAUCUUGCCACCAGCCGGGAGGGUGGGGGAGGACCAAGCCAGCGUCGAGGCUGGCAGAGCAGAGAGGCGGAAAGAACCUGGGCGCUUGAGGACACCUCCGAGCCAGGGAGCCGGCCGCCCCCGCCGCCGGCCCCAGCUUCCUGUGGAGUGAAUUCUGCACGUGUAGUGACCCCUGAGCACCUGUGGCGGAAAUCCUAGAGAAGCGGCACAAGCCCCUCGGACCUGCUCCGAGGGCCCUGGGAGCAGCUGGAGGCUCUGAGACACACCCCCCACACCCCCCCCAGAGACGCAGCCAGGGACCCAAAGUGCAAACCCUCUAGAGCCAGUUUGGCCUCUUUGCAAGUGACUUCAUUGCUGUUGGUGACGUUAAGGAAAACCAGCCCCGAGGGCAGACGUGUUCACGUAACUCUACUGUCACUGCCAAGAAGGCAACAGUCCAGAUCCCCACAGCGAGGAGGCAGCGCAGCCCUGUGUGGUUCCAUGAACGUUGCACCUGUCCUGUGUCAGUCCCUGCACCAGGUGGGCAGUCAGGAGAGGAAAGGAGGCCCAGCCCUGCCCUGGGAAGCUCGGCGCCUCAUGAGGGCUCACAGACGACUGCAAAGCAGCGUGAUCGGAGCCUGAGAAAGGCACGCAGAAAAGUCCAGAAAGAAAGCUCCGUGCAGUCCUGCUUUGCACUGCACCUCCUUUAACUUUCUCGUGACGCCAAGAGCACCUCCGGGCCCCACUCGGGCACUGCCUCGCGCACGUCUGCAUCUCCCGUGCCUAGAACAACCCCUGACGUAGGUGCACCAGCUGGCCCCAGCCGGGGAGAGCCACCUGCGCCCCUCUCCGCCGAGUUCCGUGUUUGGGGCCAUUGCAGUGGUAGCUGGAAAUCGGGAGAUUUACACCAGGGCAAUGGGCGCGCGCGCUUCUGUUUCCCAGAGAGCCACUUGUUCAACCUCCAGCAGCACACCACUCUCGAAGCCCCCAAUUUCUUUGAAGCAUCCCACCUUUUCUUUGAAAUUCCCAUGUAGUUUGCAAUUACAUCACAAGAGAUUAUUUUUUAUUUUAAUAAAACAUCUUUAAUGACCGGUUACGUUUCUUUAUUCCCACCCGCCAUGCUUUGUGAAAACGGAUACUCUGUGCAGGCUGCCGCGUCUGUCCCGUGGGUCGGUUGCGUGCAACUGCAGCUGGAUCCCCUGGUUUGAACAGCAGCGUCGUGGGGAGGGGGGACCAGGCAGGGCAGAGGGGGUGUGCGGGGCAGUGACGCUGUUCUGCGUGAUGUGCCGUCCCAGCCCGUGGAACGUCCAGCACCAAAAGGGAACCCCGAUGUGGCCUGUGGACUCCGGGAGAUGACAAAGAUCCCUCGAGGGUUCACGGACGGUAGACAAUGUCCCGCUCUGGCGCUGGAGGCUGACGGUUGGGGGGCUGUGCGUGUGCCAGGUG